AAGCGUGCGCAGGCGGUUUUGUAAGUUUGUCGUGAAAGCCCCGGGCUCAACCUGGGAAUUGCGAUGAAGACUGCAAGGCUUGAAUCUGGCAGAGGGGGGGUAGAAUUCCACGUGUAGCAGUGAAAUGCGUAGAGAUGUGGAGGAACACCGAUGGCGAAGGCAGCCCCCUGGGUCAAGAUUGACGCUCAUGCACGAAAGCGUGGGGAGCAAACAGGAUUAGAUACCCUUGU
RNAcentral lists this ribosomal RNA (230 nucleotides) under uncultured bacterium. Its description in RNAcentral is "partial 16S ribosomal RNA". It matches the Rfam family "Bacterial small subunit ribosomal RNA", at positions 563 to 791 of the family's 1533-position model. The record is from RNAcentral.